Molecule: ribosomal RNA, 433 nt
Filed under: uncultured bacterium
Lineage: Bacteria
Description: partial 16S ribosomal RNA
Rfam family: Bacterial small subunit ribosomal RNA
Source: RNAcentral
AGCGAACGCUGGCGGCAGGCCUAACACAUGCCAGUCGAACGAACUCUUCGGAGUUAGUGGCGGACGGGUGAGUAACACGUGGGAACGUGCCUUUUGGUUCGGAAUAACUCAGGGAAACUUGUGCUAAUACCGAAUGUGCCCUUCGGGGGAAAGAUUUAUCGCCAUUAGAGCGGCCCGCGUCUGAUUAGCUAGUUGGUGAGGUAACGGCUCACCAAGGCGACGAUCAGUAGCUGGUCUGAGAGGAUGACCAGCCACACUGGGACUGAGACACGGCCCAGACUCCUACGGGAGGCAGGAGUGGGGAAUCUUGCGCAAUGGGCGAAAGCCUGACGCAGCCAUGCCGCGUGAAUGAUGAAGGUCUUAGGAUUGUAAAAUUCUUUCACCGGGGACGAUAAUGACGGUACCCGGAGAAGAAGCCCCGGCUAACUUCGUG